Molecule: ribosomal RNA, 253 nt
Filed under: uncultured bacterium
Lineage: Bacteria
Description: partial 16S ribosomal RNA
Rfam family: Bacterial small subunit ribosomal RNA
Source: RNAcentral
AACGUAGGACGCAAGCGUUAUCCGGAGUUACUGGGCGUAAAGCGCGGGCAGGCGGUUGCUCAAGUCUGAUGUGAAAUCUCCUCGCUCAACGGGGAGCAGCCAUUGGAAACUGGGCAACUGGAGUCUGGCAGAGGUAGGCGGAAUUCCGGGUGGAGUGGUGAAAUGCGUAGAGAUCCGGAGGAACACCAGAGGCGAAGGCGGCCUACUGGGCCAGUACUGACGCUGAGCCGCGAAAGCCAGGGGAGCAAACGGG